RNAcentral lists this ribosomal RNA (253 nucleotides) under uncultured bacterium. Its description in RNAcentral is "partial 16S ribosomal RNA". It matches the Rfam family "Bacterial small subunit ribosomal RNA", at positions 524 to 776 of the family's 1533-position model. The record is from RNAcentral.
GACGUAGGGCGCGAGCGUUGUCCGGAUUUAUUGGGCGUAAAGAGCUCGUAGGCGGCUUGUCGCGUCGUCCGUGAAAACCCACAGCUCAACUGUGGGCUUGCGGUCGAUACGGGCAGGCUAGAGUCCGGGAGAGGAGAGUGGAAUUCCUGGUGUAGCGGUGAAAUGCGCAGAUAUCAGGAAGAACACCCGUGGCGAAAGCGGCUCUCUGGAACGGUACUGACGCUGAGACGCGAAAGCGUGGGGAGCAAACAGG